This 66-nucleotide transfer RNA is filed under the name human gut metagenome. It matches the Rfam family "tRNA", at positions 5 to 66 of the family's 71-position model. From Rfam's summary of the family: Transfer RNA (tRNA) molecules are approximately 80 nucleotides in length. Their secondary structure includes four short double-helical elements and three loops (D, anti-codon, and T loops). Further hydrogen bonds mediate the characteristic L-shaped molecular structure. tRNAs have two regions of fundamental functional importance: the anti-codon, which is responsible for specific mRNA codon recognition, and the 3' end, to which the tRNAs corresponding amino acid is attached (by aminoacyl-tRNA synthetases). tRNAs cope with the degeneracy of the genetic code in two manners: having more than one tRNA (with a specific anti-codon) for a particular amino acid; and 'wobble' base-pairing, i.e. permitting non-standard base-pairing at the 3rd anti-codon position. The record is from RNAcentral. RNAcentral also lists the same sequence under 4 other names.
CCGGUAGUUCAGUUGGUUAGAACGCCAGCCUGUCACGCUGGAGGUCAUGGGUUCGAGCCCCAUUCG